AUGCUGCCCGCUCUUGUGCAUGUCCGGCCGCCGCACUCCGCCCUACCGAGUCUUCGCGGCCGCCCUCGGCCUCGUGGCGCAGCUCCACCCCAGCGCGUGGCUCCGCCCGCGUUCGGCCUCCCUUGCUCAUCUCUGGGCUGCUUUUCCCCCGGCUGCCCAUACGCUGCUCCACCACCAUGGUCGUGGCUACCUCAACGCCAUGGCCCUGAGCUCCCUUCUCGCUCUCCGCCUCAUCGUGCUGCUGCAGUCCAUGGCGUUCUUAUCCUCCUGCCGCCCCAUCUCGCUGCUCGUCUCCAUCCACGCCCGCCUGUCCGAGCUCCCUCCUGCGCUGCUCCGGCCAUCGUGGCCGCGCCCCAUCCGUCCAGCUCUUCCUACCGAGCCUGGCGCCGCGCUCACUGCCUCCUCCGCCCGCGCCUCCUCGGCCGAGCCCGCGGCCAGCAGCGCCGCCCCCCCUCCACUGUAGCUCGGCCGCAGCUUGCCCCGUUGUCAGCGGCCGCGCCGCGCUGCUCCAUCCUCCACGCACGCACGUGGCUCCGCCCGCUCCGGCCCAGCGCCUUGCAGUCCGCCCUCUGCGUCACCUACUCCGCUUUGUCCCGCGCGCAUCGGCUCCACCUCCUGCGUGCCCGCUCCGCCGCGUCCCUGCAUCGUCCCGCGGCGCCUCCGCCUGCGACGCCCGGCCCUGCCCCACGGCCGGCUUCGUUGGCCCAAACUGCGCCUACAGCUGCACGCCCGCGCCGGAUUCCCCGUAACCCGGCGUGCCAGCUUCGCCCGCGCCGGAUUCCCCGCAACCCGGUGUGCCGGCUUCGCCCGCGUAUGAUUCCCCGCAACCCGGCGUGCCGGCUUCGCCUGCGCCGGAUUCCCUGCAACCCGACCUGCCGGCUUCCCCGCAACCCGGCCUGCCGACUUCGUCCGCGCCGGCUUCCCCGGCGACCCGGCCGCUUGCCGGCUCCUCCCGCCAACCCGGCAACCCGGACGCUUGCCGGCUCCGCGCGCGCCCGGGCUGCGGCGUCCGGCCGGCGCCUACCUCUGGCCCCGCCCGUGCUCCCGGGCCGCCCAUGGUCGGCCGCUGGCUUGCCGGUCCCCGCAGCUCCGGUCUUAGCUCUCCCAGGCCGGCUGCCCCGCGCUGUGACAGAAAGAAAAGUAAGAUAUGCUGGCUGGAAAAAGAAAAAGAACCCGGCUGGUCAGGCCGGAUGUGUAAAAAAAAGAAAGAGAGAGAAAGGAGAGAGAUGUGCGUUCGACUGCACGCGGCCAGCUAGAAUUGGCGUCCGACUGCCAGAUGUGCGUCCGACUGCCCAUAUCAGGCUUAAAAAUUGUGCCUAA
Molecule: ribosomal RNA, 1320 nt
Filed under: Triticum aestivum (bread wheat)
Lineage: Eukaryota; Viridiplantae; Streptophyta; Magnoliopsida; Poales; Poaceae
Description: partial small subunit ribosomal RNA
Source: RNAcentral